This 905-nucleotide long non-coding RNA is filed under the name Homo sapiens (human). RNAcentral describes it as "non-protein coding lnc-EYS-6:1". The record is from RNAcentral. Lineage: Eukaryota; Metazoa; Chordata; Mammalia; Primates; Hominidae.
AUGAACAAGACAGAGUUGUGAGAGGAUUCUAGGUAAAGCAAAGCAAGGUAAACUGCCAAAUAUCCCCAUCUCAUAUCAUAACCAAUGAGCUCUCUGAAUUCACACUGAGGUUUAAAUGUAAAAUAACCAAGGGGCUUUUGACUUAAUUUUGCAUAUAGACCCCUCAGCCAUCACCCAAAAGUGUUAUCAAGCCAUCUAGGCAAAUAAAUAGUCUUAACAAAAAUAAAGUUGAAAAAAUAAAAUUGUUCCCAUUUAUUCCAACAACUAAGGGCCCAACGAUUUGGGGUCACCAAGUGUCUAGCCACAAGAUUGGCAAGCUGCUUGGGACUAUGGUGAGGCAGAGUAAAAUCCAACUGCUGUAGUACAAGUAGGACAACAUGUUAGCUCUGCUCAGUGAGAAGACAAUUACAUUGAAAGGACAGCCGUAGAUUAGGGAGUGAUACAUAGGUCAUUACAAGAGGAAAUUGAGGCUUGUAUACAGCAAACAUGGACUUAUCAUGAGGAAAAUCAAGAUGAGCUUAUUUUCAGGUACUGAACUGACCUCCUUUACGCUGCUGUAAAAGAUUCUGGGACUGUGCAAGUUCCUCACUGCAGCUAUGCCUUCAAGAGGACCUUGCCCAUGAAGAAUAUCAGCAGCUGGUGGUCUUUGCAGAUGGCCAUGUAUCUACCUCUCACCUUUUUGUUGUUGUUGUUGUUGUUGUUGUUGGGUAGGAUUGGAUAGGAAACCUAACUGGGUGACUUCUCUUCUCAAAGAAUUGAAAGAGGACUGUGAUAAUACCAAGAAAAAACAUAGAAAAGCCUUUUAGAAGAAACUAUUGAUGGCCUUAUUGAAAUGGACUUCCAAAGACUGGUGGUCAGACUUCCCCAGGAAUUUUUGCUCCAGGCCAGAAUAGUUGAGGUGGUUU